RNAcentral lists this ribosomal RNA (253 nucleotides) under uncultured bacterium. RNAcentral's name for it is "partial 16S ribosomal RNA". It matches the Rfam family "Bacterial small subunit ribosomal RNA", at positions 524 to 776 of the family's 1533-position model. The record is from RNAcentral.
UACAGAGGGGGCAAGCGUGGUUCGGAAUUACUGGGCGUAAAGGGCGCGUAGGCGGCCUUCUAAGUCGAACGUGAAAUCCCCGGGCUCAACCUAGGAACUGCAUCCGAAACUGAUCACCUUGAGUAGUGGAGAGGAAAGCGGAAUUCCGGGUGUAGAGGUGAAAUUCGUAGAUAUCCGGAGGAACACCAGUGGCGAAGGCGGCUUUCUGGACACUAACUGACGCUGAGAUGCGAAAGCGUGGGGAGCAAACAGG